This 78-nucleotide ribosomal RNA is filed under the name Peptococcaceae bacterium. RNAcentral's name for it is "partial 16S ribosomal RNA". It matches the Rfam family "Bacterial small subunit ribosomal RNA", at positions 1 to 78 of the family's 1533-position model. The record is from RNAcentral. Lineage: Bacteria; Bacillati; Bacillota; Clostridia; Eubacteriales; Peptococcaceae.
UUCAUGGAGAGUUUGAUCCUGGCUCAGAACGAACGCUGGCGGCGUGCCUAACACAUGCAAGUCGAACGGAGAUAAGAG